This is a non-coding RNA of Spirochaeta sp., 74 nucleotides long. NCBI's taxonomy places the organism in Bacteria, Pseudomonadati, Spirochaetota, Spirochaetia, Spirochaetales, Spirochaetaceae. The record is from Rfam.
GUUCCGGUAGCUCAGCUGGAUAGAGCAGCUGCCUCCUAAGCAGCAGGUCAGGCGUUCGAAUCGCCUCCGGGACA